Molecule: ribosomal RNA, 340 nt
Filed under: uncultured Bacillota bacterium
Lineage: Bacteria; Bacillati; Bacillota
Description: bacterial SSU rRNA
Rfam family: Bacterial small subunit ribosomal RNA
Source: RNAcentral
GAUGAACGCUGGCGGCAUGCCUAACACAUGCAAGUCGAGCGAGAAGUUUAUGAAGGAUUCUUCGGAAGACAGAGUAACUGGAAAGCGGCGGACGGGUGAGUAACGCGUGGGUAACCUGCCCUAUGGAGGGGGAUAACGUUUUGAAAAGAACGCUAAUACCGCAUAAGCGCACAGUAUCGCAUGGUACAGUGUGAAAAACUCCGGUGCCAUAGGGAUGGACCCGCGUCAGAUUAGCUAGUUGGUGGGGUAAAGGCCUACCAAGGCAACGAUCUGUAGCCGACCUGAGAGGGUGAUCGGCCACAUUGGGACUGAGCACGGCCCAAACUCCUACGGGAGGCAG